Molecule: long non-coding RNA, 379 nt
Organism: Homarus americanus (American lobster)
Lineage: Eukaryota; Metazoa; Arthropoda; Malacostraca; Decapoda; Nephropidae
Exons: 3
Source: RefSeq, a predicted model, not a curated record
GACAGGUUUAAGCUGGAGUGUGAGGCUGUGGGUGUUCCUGUCCGUACCAUCAGGUGACUCUUAAACGGAACACAGUUCCUUCUGUGUUCAUGUACGCCCGUGAGGAGAUGACUGUGUUGGAGCUGAACGUCGUAACUUUAACGCGUGUUGCUGAAGGUGACCCGGCUCCUGCCACCACCUGGAUCAAGGAGGGACACUGUACAUUCUUCAGACAGAGUUCACUUGAUGGAUAAUGGUUCCCUGGUCAUUAAUUCAUCAGAAGCUUCUGAUGCGGGUGAGUACAAGUGUGUGGUGAGCAAUGAAGCCGGGGCAGCUGAAGCCACGGCUCAUCUGGUGGUCCACACGCCUCCUAUCCUCACACGUCCGCCCAUUACUUCAG